This is a long non-coding RNA of Mytilus californianus (California mussel), 231 nucleotides long. RefSeq lists it as uncharacterized. The record is from RefSeq and is a predicted model, not a curated record. The transcript is spliced from 3 exons. Lineage: Eukaryota; Metazoa; Mollusca; Bivalvia; Mytilida; Mytilidae.
AAAAAAGAAAAUGCUGUUGAGGAACAGGGGAGUUUCUGUGAUGAGAAUGAUACACAAAGAGCAUUUGAGUGUAAUGAAGUUGAGAGUAGUAUUUUAACCAAAAGAACAUCUGCCUUAACAACAGUGAAGGUUUUAGCGAGCAGGUGUUAUUUGAUGAUGUUGAAAGAAAUCCAGGACCUACAAUGGUUUAUCAAGACUAAUCUUAGUGCUUGCCAUACAAGUGUCAAAGAG